AACGAACGCUGGCGGCAUGCCUAACACAUGCAAGUCGAACGAGACCUUCGGGUCUAGUUGCGCACGGGUGCGUAACGCGUGGGAACCUGCCCUUAGGUUCGGAAUAACUCCCCGAAAGGGGUGCUAAUACCGGAUAAUGUCUUCGGACCAAAGAUUUAUGGCCUUUGGAUGGGCGCGCGUUGGAUUCGCUAGUUGGUAGGGUAAAAGCCUACCAAGGCGACGAUCCAUAGCUGGUCUGAGAGCAUGCUCAGCCACACUGGGACUGCGACACGGCCCAGAAUCGUAGGGGAGGGAGGAGUGGGGAAUACAGGACAAUGGGGGAUAGCCUGAUCCCGCAAUGCCGGGUGAGUGAUGAAGGCAGUAGGGAAGUAAAGGUUGUUUACACGAGAUGAUAAUGACGGUACCGGGAGAAUAAGCACCGGCUAACUACGUG
This 433-nucleotide ribosomal RNA is filed under the name uncultured bacterium. RNAcentral describes it as "partial 16S ribosomal RNA". It matches the Rfam family "Bacterial small subunit ribosomal RNA", at positions 29 to 507 of the family's 1533-position model. The record is from RNAcentral.